GUCGAGAAUCAUUCACAAUGGGGGAAACCCUGAUGGUGUGACGCCGCGUGGAGGAUGAAGGUCUUCGGAUUGUAAACUCCUGUCAUGUGGGAGUAAAGCCGGGUGUUAAAUGCAUGCCGGUCUGAGAGUACCACAAGAGGAAGGGACGGCUAACUCUGUGCCAGCAGCCGCGGUAAUACAGAGGUCCCAAGUGUUGUUCGGAAUCACUGGGCGUAAAGGGUGCGUAGGCGGCGCGGAAAGUCAGGGGUGAAAUCCCGGAGCUCAACUCCGGAACUGCCUUUGAUACUCCCGCGCUUGAGAACUGGAGGGGAGACCGGAAUUCACGGUGGAGCAGUGAAAUGCGUGGAUAUCGUGAGGAACACUAGUGGCGAAGGCGGGUCUCUGGACAGUAUCUGACGCUGAGGCACGAAGGCCAGGGGAGCGAACGGGAUUAGAAACCCUAGUAGUCC
RNAcentral lists this ribosomal RNA (449 nucleotides) under uncultured bacterium. RNAcentral's name for it is "partial 16S ribosomal RNA". It matches the Rfam family "Bacterial small subunit ribosomal RNA", at positions 354 to 796 of the family's 1533-position model. The record is from RNAcentral.